RNAcentral lists this ribosomal RNA (503 nucleotides) under uncultured bacterium. Its description in RNAcentral is "partial 16S ribosomal RNA". It matches the Rfam family "Bacterial small subunit ribosomal RNA", at positions 29 to 523 of the family's 1533-position model. The record is from RNAcentral.
AACGAACGCUGGCGGCACGUUUUAAGCAUGCAAGUCGAAUGGCAGCAGGGGCAACUCUGUGAGAAUGGCGAACGGGUGAGUAACACGUAGGUGAUCUGCCUUGAGGAUGGGGAUAGCCUGUGGAAACACAGGGUAAUACCGAAUAAGCUGACGGGACUUUGGUUUUGUUAGUAAAGGUGCUACGGCACCGCCUUGAGAGGAGCCUGCGGCUGAUUAGCUAGUUGGUGGGGUAAAGGCCUACUAAGGCGACGAUCAGUAGCCGGCCUGGGAGGGUGUACGGCCACACUGGGACUGAGACACGGCCCAGACUCCUACGGGAGGUAGCAGCUAAGAAUCUUCCGCAAUGGGCGAAAGCCUGACGGAGCGAUGCCGCGUGAUCGAUGAAGGUCGAGAGAUUGUAAAGAUCUUUUCUACAUGAGGAAUAAGUCUGGGAGGGAAUGCCUGGAUGAUGACGUUAGUGUAGGAAUAAGCCCCGGCUAAUUACGUGCCAGCAGCCGCGGUAA